Non-coding RNA from Campylobacter cuniculorum, 115 nucleotides. The record is from Rfam. Lineage: Bacteria; Pseudomonadati; Campylobacterota; Epsilonproteobacteria; Campylobacterales; Campylobacteraceae.
AGUUUUUGUUUUUUUAGUUAUAAUCAGCCUUUUAAUUUCACCAAUCAGGAGGUCUAUUAUGGCUUUGGAUUCGGCUAAAAAAGCAGAAAUUGUUGCGAAAUUCGCUAGAAAACCC